Molecule: ribosomal RNA, 480 nt
Filed under: uncultured bacterium
Lineage: Bacteria
Description: partial 16S ribosomal RNA
Rfam family: Bacterial small subunit ribosomal RNA
Source: RNAcentral
GACGAACGCUGGCGGCGUGCUUAACACAUGCAAGUCGAACGGUGAUGGGUGCUUGCACCUUGAUCAGUGGCGAACGGGUGAGUAACACGUGAGCAACCUGCCCCCGACUCUGGGAUAACCCCGGGAAACUGGAGCUAAUACUGGAUAUGAGACGUACAGGCAUCUGUCGCGUCUGGAAAGAAUUUCGGUCGGGGAUGGGGUCGCGGUCUAUCAGCUUGUUGGUGGGGUAAUGGCCUACCAAGGCGACGACGGGUAGCCGGCCUGAGAGGGCGACCGGCCACACUGGAACUGAGACACGGACCAGACUCCUACGGGAGGCAGCAGUGGGGAAUAUUGCACAAUGGGCGCAAGCCUGAUGCAGCGACGCCGCGUGAGGGAUGACGGCCUUCGGGUUGUAAACCUCUUUCAGCAGGGAAGAAGCGCAAGUGACGGUACCUGCAGAAGAAGCGCCGGCUAACUACGUGCCAGCAGCCGCGGUAA